CCAGCCACACUGGAACUGAGACACGGUCCAGACUCCUACGGGAGGCAGCAGUGGGGAAUUUUGGACAAUGGACGCAAGUCUGAUCCAGCCAUUCCGCGUGCAGGACGAAGGCCUUCGGGUUGUAAACUGCUUUUGUACAGAACGAAAAGGUCUCUAUUAAUACUAGGGGCUCAUGACGGUACUGUAAGAAUAAGCACCGGCUAACUACGUGCCAGCAGCCGCGGUAAUACGUAGGGUGCAAGCGUUAAUCGGAAUUACUGGGCGUAAAGCGUGCGCAGGCGGUUAUGUAAGACAGAGGUGAAAUCCCCGGGCUCAACCUGGGAACUGCCUUUGUGACUGCAUAGCUGGAGUGCGGCAGAGGGGGACGGAAUUCCGCGUGUAGCAGUGAAAUGCGUAGAUAUGCGGAGGAACACCGAUGGCGAAGGCAAUCCCCUGGGCCUGCACUGACGCUCAUGCACGAAAGCGUGGGGAGCAAACAGGAUUAGAUACCCUGGUAGUCCACGCCCUAAACGAUGUCAACUGGUUGUUGGGUCUUCACUGACUCAGUAACGAAGCUAACGCGUGAAGUUGACCG
Molecule: ribosomal RNA, 574 nt
Filed under: uncultured bacterium
Lineage: Bacteria
Description: bacterial SSU rRNA
Rfam family: Bacterial small subunit ribosomal RNA
Source: RNAcentral